RNAcentral lists this ribosomal RNA (253 nucleotides) under uncultured bacterium. RNAcentral describes it as "partial 16S ribosomal RNA". It matches the Rfam family "Bacterial small subunit ribosomal RNA", at positions 524 to 776 of the family's 1533-position model. The record is from RNAcentral.
UACGGGGGGGGCAAGCGUUGUUCGGAAUUACUGGGCGUAAAGGGUGCGCAGGCGGCCGUGUGUGUGAGGCGUGAAAGCCCGGGGCUUAACCCCGGAAUUGCACCUCAAACUACACGGCUAGAGCAUUGGAGAGGGUAGCAGAAUUCACGGUGUAGCAGUGAAAUGCGUAGAUAUCGUGAGGAAUACCAGAGGCGAAGGCGGCUCCCUGGACAAUUGCUGACGCUCAGGCACGAAAGCGUGGGGAGCAAAAGGG